CUGCUCUGGCAGCAUAUAUACUAAAAUUGGAGCAAUACAGAGAAUAUUAGCAUGAUUCCUGCUCAAGGAUGAUGCACCCUUGCAUGUGGCUGACCCAUCUUCA
Molecule: small nuclear RNA, 103 nt
Organism: Sorex fumeus (smoky shrew)
Lineage: Eukaryota; Metazoa; Chordata; Mammalia; Eulipotyphla; Soricidae
Source: RefSeq, a predicted model, not a curated record